RNAcentral lists this ribosomal RNA (245 nucleotides) under uncultured Iamia sp. RNAcentral's name for it is "partial 16S ribosomal RNA". It matches the Rfam family "Bacterial small subunit ribosomal RNA", at positions 524 to 767 of the family's 1533-position model. The record is from RNAcentral. Lineage: Bacteria; Bacillati; Actinomycetota; Acidimicrobiia; Acidimicrobiales; Iamiaceae.
CACGUAGGGGGCAAGCGUUGUCCGGAUUUAUUGGGCGUAAAGAGCUCGUAGGUGGCUCAGUAAGUCGGGUGUGAAACCUCCAGGCUCAACCUGGAGACGCCACCCGAUACUGCUGUGGCUAGAGUCCAGUAGGGGAGCAUGGAAUUCCUGGUGUAGCGGUGAAAUGCGCAGAUAUCAGGAGGAACACCAGUGGCGAAGGCGGUGCUCUGGGCUGGAACUGACACUGAGGAGCGAAAGCGUGGGGA